AGCUUUGUGCAGUGGCAGUAUUGUAGCCAAUGAGGUUUAUCCAAGGUGCAAUUGUUGCUAAUUGAAAGAAAAAAAUUGCUAAACAUUUUAGCUUUGAUUUUUCUGAAAGGAA
This is a small nuclear RNA of Ailuropoda melanoleuca (giant panda), 112 nucleotides long. Its record names the gene U4. It matches the Rfam family "U4 spliceosomal RNA". Rfam says of the family: U4 small nuclear RNA (U4 snRNA) is a component of the major U2-dependent spliceosome. The structure of U4 snRNA from yeast and human has been reported. The record is from Ensembl. Lineage: Eukaryota; Metazoa; Chordata; Mammalia; Carnivora; Ursidae.